GUCGAUAUGUCCGAGUGGUUAAGGUAGACUAGACUUGAUAUCUGUUGGGCUACGCCCGCGCAGGUUCGAACCCUGCUGUCGACG
Molecule: transfer RNA, 84 nt
Filed under: Glycine max (soybean)
Lineage: Eukaryota; Viridiplantae; Streptophyta; Magnoliopsida; Fabales; Fabaceae
Description: tRNA-Ser (TGA) (tRNA-Ser-TGA-5-1)
Rfam family: tRNA
About the family: Transfer RNA (tRNA) molecules are approximately 80 nucleotides in length.
Source: RNAcentral